Molecule: long non-coding RNA, 36412 nt
Filed under: Prunus persica (peach)
Lineage: Eukaryota; Viridiplantae; Streptophyta; Magnoliopsida; Rosales; Rosaceae
Description: long non-coding RNA (PPER_LNC002808)
Source: RNAcentral
UUAAAAAAAAAAAACCUCUUGCAUGCGCGGAAGCGCGUGCAGAGAGGCUAGUCCUAUUUUAAUGGAAUACAACUACCUAUUAUCAUCAUACUAAAAAAAAAAAAAAAACUACCCAUAUCUUUUUUAAUUCUAAAAUAAAUUUAAAGGUUUGGUUAUGGUUGGCCCAAUUGACCCAUUGAUGCGUGGGUUACUGGCCCAUACUCAAUUAUGGUUGGAAAGGUUUGGUUAGCAUCCUAAUAGGAACGGGAGAUUUUGCCUAUGACUUGCGUGACAAGAGAGGUGCUUUCCUAAGCACUAUAUAAACAGGGACUUCCUUCCUAGCCUAACCUAAUUUUCUGAUUGAGACACCAAAAUUAUCAUGAUGGAAGUGGACGGAGAAAAUCAUGAUGAGGGUUUGGAAAGAAAUUACCAGAGGAGGCCACAAACACGAAGAAGAAGUAGGGUGGAAGCAAUCGAGUGGACGCUGGAGCACCACAAGCAAUUCGUGGACACCAUGAACCGGUUAUAUUUGGGAGAUCUCACAGUUCGUACACCCAGGAGGGCGAUCCUGAUUGUGGAGCUCAUGAACAACGAGGCCUUGAGGCUUAUUCCCCGCUCAACUCUCUUGCACCACAUCGGCCUCUUUCAGCGUUUUCAGAGUAAUCAGAAAGCCAAUGCUCACAGUGUUUUGACGAGAGACUUUGAACGGCUUAACAUUAAUAAGGAGGAGAAGCAGGACUUGUCGUUUUCAUGGACACCGGUGUAUCACGAGGACUUGGUGGAGGCAGUGAUCCAGUUGGGUGGGCUUGGAAAGGCAACCGCAAAGGGCAUUCUGAAGCUGCUAGAGAACCACCGUGGCCUCACCGUCGAGGCAGUGUCGUACCAUCUCUUCAGGUUAAAGGAUUUACAGAAAAUGACUCAAACAUUUCAAGAAAAAAUCCACUGAUCGACUCAAACAUUUCAAGAAAAAAUCUACUCGUUAUCUUAUGAGAGAUAUAAUCUUUGUGUCUCUCGUACAUCUAAUAAAAUAUAGUUACAUGUGAAUAUAUCUCUCUGAGGAUUUAUUGUGAUUGUGUGGCUAGAUUAGUUAAUGAGAUGUAUUUUUUAUUAAUUGAAUAUGAAUAUUUCAGUUAUCUUGAAACUCUUUGUUGUGGUUUGCUCAUUCAGUGUUUUUUUUUUCUUUGUACAGAUGCUCAUUCAAUUUCUAAAUUUACCCUUCAAGAACUGGUCUCUUGGGCAUUUGAAUGUAUGAGUUUUGGUUACCCAAGAUGAUAAAAAACAAAAUAAAAUAUGAUGAAUUUCUGACCUUCUUUUCCAACACUUAAAAAAAGUUUAUUAACCAAAUUGUGGAUUUUAUAUUCCCUUUUUUCAAAAAUGGACAGAGGUAUUCAUGUUCUCCAUUGUAAACUAUGAAUAAGCAUAGGAUGAAUACAUUAGAAAGAGGACCACUACUUAAAUCAAACCAAGGGGAGGAGCAUGUGAUCAUCAUUAAUUAUUUUUUGCCAAGAUCACACUUGAACAAAAUUGCCAUGCUUCUGUUGAGCACCAGAGAUUUUGUAGCUUAAUUUAAACUAAUUUAAUCAGAUCACAUGCAACAAAUGAUUAUGUAUUUAUUUGUUACUGUAGCUGUAUAAUAAUAUAUUGAAUAUUUAAGCCUGGCCUGGAAGCUGCAAAUGGUUUGCAAAUGAAAGCAGAAUACAGUUGGUCAACACUCAACAGGGAAUCUGCUGACUGUACUAGAGAAAACAAACAAACAAACAGAGAAUCCUGUGGAUGGUGCCUUAAAGAAAAGGAAGAUCUAAGUUCUGGAAGAGGGUUUAAUGAUUUCAAGAAAGACACAUCACACUUAACACAUUUAUGAAACUUAGACUUGAAUCUGACAAUAUGUUUAACUGUAUUUUAAUAUUCUUUAUUAGACAGUCACUGGCUAGACCUUGGAAACAGCAUCUUCACUCACUAUCAUCCCUUCAACACAACCCCAAACUGCCUCUUUUUCCUCUUCCACUCAGAAAACUCUCUCUCUCUCUCUCUCUCUCUCUCUCUCAUAUUGUGUUUUUGUUCCUUCCACUGAAUCCCAGCCUUAUUAUUGUUAGUUCUUCCCCAAGUAGAUUGAAGAACAGGUAUGCUCUGCUUUCAUUUAAUUCUCAAGAUGAAGUCUGUGCAUACACAGCAUUUACAUACCAAAAUCAAGGCAAGGUUACAGGCUAUGUCAUCCUAGUGAUAUUAGUAGAAAUAUUUCUCAUUUCUGUAUACAAAAAUGGGUUGUCUAAAUGGGAUUUCCUUGAUUUGCAUUGUUCUUUGUGUUUCAUCAAUCCCAUCAGUUGUAUUUGUAUAUGCUUCGUUUCUUCCUCAAGAUCAAUUCUUCAUUGAUUGUGGGGGAAGCAAGGCAAUGGAGUUUGGGGAUGGCAGGGUUUUUCAGCCUGAUUCUGGGAACCCAUAUGUUACUUUAUCUUCACAAGGCCACACUGCAGUUUCAGAUCAUGAAACCAGUUUGUCAAACCACUCAAAUCUCUAUGCUUCUGCCCAGGUUUUUAGAGAAACUUCAUCUUAUACCGUUAACACUAAGCAGAUUGGUCGUCAUUGGCUUAGAUUGCAUUUUUACCCUUUUGAGAACCCAAAGUUCAAUUUGAAAUCUGCAGUCUUCUCUGUUGUGGCUAAUGGAAUUACACUGCUUCAUGGGUUUUCUUUUUCGGAAGUUGGCAAAACCUCUCAUCUAGUGAAGGAAUAUGUUUUUGAAGUCGAUGGAACAAGUUCUAAGAAACUGGUUCUUACAUUGUCACCUUGGAAUGGUUCAAUUGCAUUCAUCAAUGGGAUAGAGGUUGUUUCUGUGCCUGCUGGGCAAUUCCCAAGUACCAAAGUAAUGCCUGUUCCAUUGGGGCCUGCAGUUGAUGUUCCUAAACAUGUCACUUUCGAGACGGCUUAUAGGAUAAACAUGGGAGGUCAACAUAUAACCCCCAAGAAUGACUCACUGUGGAGGACAUGGGAUCCAGACCAUGCUUUUCUUGUCAAUGCUGCUGCGGCCCGGAACGUUACAGCCAAUCCCAGCAGAAUCAAAUACUCUGAUGGAGUUUCAGUUGAAAUUGCACCAAAUUGGGUUUAUGCCACAGCUCAAGAGAUGGCGGAUGCACAGGUCAGCAAUCAGAAAUUUAACAUUUCAUGGGCAUUUGAAGUUGAGCAUGGCUUCAGCUAUCUUAUCAGAUUGCAUUUUUGUGACAUUGUAAGUGUAGCUCUCAAUCGUUUGGUUUUCAAUGUGUAUAUCAACCAACAAUCUGCUCUAGACUAUUUUGAUAUCUCAAGCAGGACAAUGGCAUUAUCAGCAGCUUACUUCAUAGACUUUGUGACAAAUAUUUCGAUGGGAUCAAAUCGGAUUUUGGUGCAAGUAGGUCCUCCUAUGUUAAGAGACCUCCCAUCCAAUGCAAUCUUGAAUGGUUUGGAGAUUAUGAAAAUGAGCAAUCAUAGAGACAGCCUUCAUGCGAAUCUUCCAGGGAAUCAUAAAAUGGACACAAGAUCACCUGCAGGCAAGAAAAAGUGGAUGCUGCUUGCAAUUUCUUCUUCAGCAGCAGGGUUUGUAGUUUUGGUGCUCAUGUCAGCUGCCUUCUAUUUGUAUUGGCGUAAAAUCCAUCAAAAGAAGCUGAAGCCUCAAUGCUCAGCCUGGAUGUCAUUACCUAGCCAUUUGGGGAUUUCUGAUUCAAAAGUUUCCAUUUGCAGUUAUGAUUCCACAGCACAUUCUCUUAGUUUAGGCCGCAUUCUGGCUUUCUCGGAGGUUCGUGAAGCAACGAAGAACUUUGACAAGAGCUUGGUUUUGGGAGUGGGGGGAUUUGGAAAGGUUUACAGGGGAGUGCUAGAAAAUGGGACUGUGGUUGCAGUGAAGCGCGGAAAUCCAAGGUCACAACAGGGACUUACUGAAUUCAGGACAGAAAUUGACAUGCUAUCAAAGCUCAGGCACAGGCAUUUGGUUUCUCUGAUAGGCUACUGUGAGGAACUCAAUGAGAUGAUCCUUGUUUAUGAGUAUAUGGCCAAGGGUCCUCUGCGAAAUCACUUGUAUGGUUCGAAUCUUUCUCCGCUUUCUUGGAAACAUAGGCUUGAAAUUUGCAUUGGAGCUGCAAAAGGCUUGCAUUACCUUCACACAGGAGCAGCAGAGAGCAUAAUUCACCGCGAUGUUAAAACAACCAACAUACUUCUUGAUGAAAGCCUCACUGCAAAAGUGGCUGAUUUUGGAUUGUCAAAGCUAGGCCCUACAUUGGAUCAAACACAUGUAAGCACUGCAGUGAAGGGUAGCUUUGGUUACCUUGAUCCGGAUUACUAUCGUCGACAGAAGCUCACAGAGAAGUCAGAUGUGUAUUCUUUUGGAGUAGUUCUGUUAGAGGUCUUAUGUGCUAGGCCACCUAUAAACCCUGCCCUCCCUAGAGAACAGGUUAAUAUAGCAGAAUGGGCUAUGAGUUGGCAAAAGAAGGGAAGACUAGAAAAGAUUAUAGACCCCCAUCUUGGAGGACAUGUCAAUCUUGAAUCUCUUAGAAAAUUUGGUGAAACAGCAGAGAAGUGCCUGGCUGAAUAUGGAGUUGAUAGGCCAACAAUGGGAGAUGUUCUGUGGAAUUUGGAGUAUGUUCUUCAACUACAAGAGGCUUCUAUACAAACUGUUUCAUCUGAGAACAGUGCAAAUUACGUCCCAUACACGCCAGAAUGGCUCCCCCAAAUGAGUGAUCAAGAAUCUGAUGCAACAUCAAGUGCUGUGUUUUCUGAGUUGUUGGAUCCAAGAGGAAGAUAAAAUUAUCAAAGAGGGUGAGCAAUGAUCACAUACAUACUCGUACCAAUAUAGUUUUUUUUCCCCCUUCUCACUUAGUUUCAUGAUUUAUAUUAUAUUAUUGUUUGCAGAUCAAAAUGCAAAGGAAAUAUGAAGAUUUGAAUUGAUGGUCUAUUUCCAUACCCUAUUUGAUUGAUUUCCUAUUUUCAGUUUACCUUUUUUUCUUUUUUUAAUUUUUAUGAGUGUGUUGGGCCUGUGUUAUGAUCCAGCAACUUGAAGGCCAACACUAAGCGAAUAUCUUUGUUUAACCAAAUUAAGUUGAAAUGGCCCAGAAAAAUAAAGUUAUAUCCUUUUAGAAAUGAGAGAGAAGUAGAUGUAGGUUAGGUCAUUUGUUUAAAAUAGCGUCGGUUCCUUAACACUCGUGUUUGAUCCUUCUCUCUAUAUUAGAUUAGUUUAGAAUAUCGAACAAGAAAAACGUGAGAGAAAGAGUUUGCAAUAGGAUAAACUUCAAUCAUACAAAUGAUAUGAUGCAAAAUGAUCCACAUGAUAAAACAAAUCCUCCACUUAGCCUUAACAUCCAAGAAUUGGUUGGUCCAAUUAUAACAAAGAAAUUGAUGCACCUCCUUUGUCGGCAUACAGAAUAUUAGUUUGGAACGUUGUAAUUAAUGAGCGAUUUAUUUUUCCGACUUUUUCCCCAAAAAGAAUUUUCUCAUUUUUAGUGGAACUAAUAAUGUUGAUGGGCCCUCUAAUAAUAUAAUAAUAUGAGACUCAACUCAACAUUGUAAAAAUUAACAACAUAAUUAAGAAUCUAAUUAACAUUAUUUUUCUAUACAAACGACACAUCGCCGAUUGAAACAAUUCGGUCGUUGUGGGACCAUGACGACGCAAGUUUUCCUGCAGGGACCCACCGCCGCGCUACGAAAACGACACUCGUUUUGAAUAGUCAAACGUCGGUUCGUCCCACUCCAAAAACUCGCCGGCCAUUUCGCGCUCGCGCGCAUAACCAUUACACAAUCAUCAAGCGGGGCCCGCCACGUCACUUGGACGGCGAUCCUAAAUCUCCUCGGGCUAGUCUUUUGCCGAUUCAGCCGUAAUGAAAUUUCAUCACCACCACAAACGUGGGAGAGCCGUACCUGGACGAACGACGCGUCGCAUUCAUGAGCUGUAAAGCGACCGACAUGUGGCAUCGAGAAAAGCCCACUCCACUCUCGUCGCUCACUGGCCCUACAUAUUUACUACAUCUUUUUUUACCGCUGACCGGCUAGACCCGUUCCAUAGCCGUUGUUUCGGGUAUUUAUAGGGCAAAUCCUGUACUUGUAAAGUAAGCAGUCGACAGUGGAAGCUAAGAGCUACACAGAGAAACAAAAAGGAUUUGAAAGAGGAAUUUGAAGAAAAUGCCAAUCAAUAAAAUUGCAGUUGGGACGCCAGGAGAGGCAAGCCACCCUGAUGCCAUAAGGGCUGCCUUUGCUGAGUUUUUCUCUACGCUCAUCUUUGUUUUUGCUGGGGAAGGCUCUGGCAUGGCUUUCAGUAAGACCCAUCAAUUUCACAAUUUCAAUAUAUUUGUCUACAAAAUUGUUGUUACUCUUGCCAUGAUACACAUUGUUCAUUCAUUUCUUGACGGCUAGAUUGUUCAAGGUUUUCAAUCGUGAUCACUUUUCACAUCAACAUGGAUUGGUUUAUACUUUCUUUAUAUGUGCGAUACGUGAGAGAUAAAUGUUAGCUUGAUAUAUACCUUUUUCAAAGUAUGUGAUUAUCUAACUUUUUUUUUGCUUUCUAUUCCAAUCGGCUAAUCAAGGGAAGUUAAUUAAUUUUGACAGACAAGCUAACUAACAACGGAUCAACCACACCGUCUGGGCUUGUAGCUGCAUCAUUGGCACAUGCUUUUGCACUUUUUGUUGCGGUCUCUGUGGGUGCAAAUAUUUCCGGGGGUCAUGUAAACCCUGCUGUCACAUUUGGCGCAUUCAUUGGUGGCAACAUAACUCUGUUGAGAGGCAUUUUGUAUUGGAUUGCACAGUUGCUUGGAUCAGUUGUUGCUUGCUUGCUACUCAAGUUUGCCACCGGUGGAUGGGUUAGUAAUUAACUUGUUGGUCAACAUGAACGCGAACACGUGAUGCUAGCACAUCUACAUCAAUGACCAGGGUAGCAUUACGUGCUCACACACAAUUGACUGAUGCUAGCAUAACUUCUGUUGUCCAAGAUCAUUUAUUGAUUUUACGUGUCCCUAACUUGACGUUUUGAUUAUUCAUUUAACCCCUGCAGGAAACGGCAGCAUUCUCUCUGUCGUCUGGUGUGUCAGUCUGGAAUGCUCUAGUGUUUGAGAUUGUGAUGACCUUCGGCUUGGUCUACACAGUGUAUGCCACAGCAGUUGAUCCAAAGAAGGGCAAUGUAGGCAUUGUUGCACCUAUCGCAAUUGGUUUGAUUGUUGGUGCCAACAUUUUGGCUGGUGGUGCGUUUGAUGGUGCAUCCAUGAACCCAGCAGUGUCGUUUGGGCCUGCUGUUGUCAGCUGGUCAUGGACUCACCACUGGGUCUAUUGGGCUGGCCCAUUGAUUGGUGCUGCCGUUGCAGCGCUUGUCUAUGACAACAUCUUCAUUGGUGAUGGGGCCCACGAACCCCUACCCAACAAUGAUUUUUAGAAAGUUGUCCUUGCUUGGUUAAAGACGAAGGAUGCAAAUGUUUGUUCAGCUGAAGGGGCUCAUGGGAACUGAAUGAUCAAGUCAUGUUUCAUGUACUUUUGUUGUAGGUUUUACUUUUACUAGUGUUUUGUUUUGGUGAGGAGAGUACGUAGAACUCAGCUAGUAGGUUUGUCUUUUCAAAUCUUUGGAAAUGCAUUGUUUGUUUUAUGAUCUUCUGCUUCAAAUUGAUCUGGUAUCAUCUACUUUUACACUGAGAAAACAAAAACCAUGGGUUGUGGUGGCCGAUUGAUGAAAAGCAUGUUUAAAAGAUGAAAAUAUGUUAAGAACCACAAAUUUCAAAACAUCGAUCUAUGGGAAUUAUAGUAAAUCUUUAGACCCAGGUGAAGAAGUUUAGUAUCUUUUGCUUCUUCCAAAAACACAAGGGAACACUUGUUUUGCAUCCUUUCCAUGGUUUGCUCAAACUCUUUGGCCUCUCCCCAAGCAAUUAUCACUUGAUGCUGCUGUGAUUAGUGGCUCCACUGUAACUAGAUCCCUUCUUACGCAUCCUUUCUCAUUCUCUUGAUUUGUAAAUCCUUCUAACUUCACUACUUUUCAGAUGAGCCAAUAUUUUAUGGCUUUUGACUUCUCCCUUUCUAACUUUGACCCCCCAAAAAAAAAAAGGUAGAGUAGUGCUUGCCAUGCAGUAGCUUUUAGGAUCAUUUUGCACAUCUUUAACAUAUAGUAUAAAACCACAUAAUUGUAUAAGAUCUUUUAUUUUUUAAAGUUUUGGAACUAAGAGAAGGGUUGAAAUUGCAACAAACUUAAUGGUACUUGUAAAUCCCCAACAAUUAGUCUACUCUAUUAUUCGUGUUCGUGUUUCUUGAAAGGAAACAACCAAUAAGACAUUGGAAAUUUGUGCUUGGAGACUAUUGUUUAGGAAGAAGGAAGGCUAAAAGUCACUCUUGGUCAUUGUAGUUUAGCGCUUCAACCACUUUUAACUUUGUAGUUUCAAUUCCGUCAAUUUUGACCAUGUAGUUUUGUAUUUGUAGCAAUUUGAAGACAAACUAGUAUUCCCGUCAAUUUCUUUGACGGUACAAAGAGCAAUUUCGUCAACCAAAAUCCUUGAGAGCGUAAAAGCUUGUAUGAAACUCUCCCCAUUUCAUAUUAUGGCUUGAAAUUGACCAUUUGAGUUUAGGGUUUUUCAAAAAUUAGGAUUAGUGGUUGAAUUUCUAGCCCAAAUAUGAAAUGGGGAGAGUUUCAAAUGACCUUUUAUGCUCAAGAGUUUUGGGUUGACGAAAUUGCCUCUUGCACAGUUAAAGAAAUUGACAAGAAUACUAAUUUGUCCUUAAAUUGCUACAAAUAUGAAACUACAAUGGCAAAAUUGAUAGAAUUAAAACUACGGAGUCAUUGAAGUGCCAAAUUACAGGGAUCAAAAAUGACUUUUGAUGAGGGCAAAAUUGUGUGAUACUUCAGAGGACAAAAUGAUUUCCACAUUCACCAUUGUCUUCGGCUCAAAAUAAAUCACCAUGCAACAGUACUACGUCGUUCAAUCGACUACGCUUGCCUCCGUUUUCCCUACGAACCAAAACCUCAGGCCAAAACCUUAGGCUUCAGCGGCUUUGGCCCCUUGCCUUCUCAUUCUCUUCGGAGAGUUUCUUCAGUAAAAGCCAUCACUUCGUAAGAGUGCAGAGAUGGUUUUGUCAAACAAAAGGCUGAAGCAAAAGCUAAGAGAAACACUAGCUCAAUCCUUAGUAUAAUCAGUAGCUAAAACAGACAAGCAAACUGCCGGGUCAGAAAACCCGGACUCGAAUUCUUUUUAAUAUAUAUAUUAUUGGUAUAGUUUUGAUCUCUUGGACUACAAGGGUCCAAGAGAUUUAUGGUAACUCACCGUUAGAUGUAAAUUUAACGGUUCACUCACUUUUGCACUCUUUAAAUUUUUUUUUUUUUGAACCAUUGGAUUAAUAUCCAACGGUAGGUGACCACAAUCUCUUGGACUCCUGUAGUCCAAGAGAUCGGGACUGAUUAUUGGUAUUCAAUAACAUCCGAAAAUUAUGUGUAUAAUAUCUGAAUUUUGGGUGUACAAUUGAAAAUUUUGUAAAAAUCGAGUAUAUUAAAUAUGAAAAAUACAUACAUACGUGAAAAUGCUAAGUUUUUUAUACGAGUAAGAGCUCUGAAAAAGUAAAAACUCAAAAAGGGACAAUAGAAGCUCGGAUAAUGACCUAAUAGUAAUGGAUAAGGCUGUAAACUAUCCUUAUCGAUAAACAAAAAUCAGAGAAAAAUAAAUUUUUUUUUAUAAAUUUGACGGGGAAAAUGAAGUCGUAUGUAAAGCGUAUCGCUACUCAGUUAUACUAUUUAUUUUUUUAAAAAUGACCACAGUGCGGCUAUACUCUUUUUUAUGAAAAAAAAAAUAUCCCGAGUAUAGCUGCGCGGAUAUAGUAUUUUUUCAUUUAAAAAAAGGGGAAUAUAGCCGUAUGGCUAUACUUUUUUUAUUUUAAAAAACGCUGGGUAUCGCCGCGCGGCUCUACUAUUUAUUUAAAAAAACAAAAGGGCCCUUCUGGCGUCUAGCGCCCGCUUGGCCACUUGUCAAAACCGUAUAGCCGGGCGGCUAUACUAUUUUUAUUAUAAAAUAAAUCCGCGUAUAGCCAUCCGGCUAUACUAUUUAUAAAAAGGCCGCCUUGCGCCUCGCCCAUUUAGCCACGCGUCAAAAAUAGUAUAGCCGCGCGGCUAUACUAUUUUUAAAUAAAAACAGUGGUAUAGCCGGCCGGCUAUACUCUUUUUAUAAAAAAAAAACCCAGAGUAGAGCCGCGCGGCUAUACGAUUUAUUAGGAAAAAAAAAAGAGGGCUCCCGCAUUUUCAGGCUCAAAAUGUCGAGCCCAGGUCCAAGCACCGAAUCCACCAUUGGCUUCGGCCCAAAAUAAAUCUCUGAGCAUGCACCUGUACGACGUCGUUCAAUCGACUACGCUUGCCUCCGUUUUCUCUACGAACCAAAACCUCAGGCCAAAACCUUAGGCUUUGGCGGCUUUGGUCCCUGCCUUCUGAUUCUCUUCAGAGAGUUCUUCAGUAAAAGCCAUCACUUUGCAGAGAUGGUUUUGUCAAACAGAAGGCUGAAGCAAAAGCUAAGAGAAACACUAGCUCAAUCCUUAGUAGAAUCGGUAGCUAAAACCGACCCGCAAACUGAUGGGUCAGAAAACCCAGACCCGAAUUCGGAGCCCCAGUCGCUGAAAGUGCUCCUGGACUCUGUAACCCAGAAACCCAGAUUGUCCAAGCGAGAGAAACGUAGAAAGCUCCUUGCUUUGCGAGGUUCAGAGGCGGUGAGUGGGAGUGGCACUGGUGGCAAUUUUGAGGAAAACAAGGGCGAGGAAGAUAAAGGGGAAGUGGAGUCAGAGGAUUUGGGGGAUGAGAAGAAGGAGGAGAAGAAAAAGAAGAAGAGGAAGAGAGAUGAGGAGGAAAAAAAUGGAGUUUUGAGUUCAGAGGAAAAUGAGGUUGUGAAGGAGGAGGCUAAAAAGCCAAAGAAAAAGAAUAAGAAGAAGAAGAAGAAGAAGAAUAAGAAGAGAAAGAAGGAGGCAACGAAUGAGGAAGAGAAAAAGGAUGGUGAGCUUGGGAGUGAGGAGCAAAGUGUCAAAGAGACAAAUAAUAACAGUGAUAGGUAAUUUUAGACGAUACCCCUUGUGCUCAAAUUGAAUUUGUGCUCUUUUUUUUUUGUCAACUUUGUUUUGAUUAUGAUAUUGUUUAAUUAGAAUUUUUAGUUUAAUUUUUGUUGUUUUGGUAAGUUCAGUUUCUCUGUUCCUAUAUUUUAGCUCAACACUUGAACCCCUAGUGUUUAGAAAGUGUUUAGUAGAAGAUCAGUUGAUUUUGUAUGGGCGGCAAUUUAGAUUGAUCGGAAGAUAUCUGCUUUCUAUGUGAAAAUGUGUUCUAUAGUUUUUGCCUCAUUCUGUAUGUGUUCUGUCAUUUUGUUUAGGCAAACGAAUGGGGAUGUUCCUACAAAAGUUUAUGUUGGAGGCAUUCCUUAUUACUCUACCGAGGACGAUAUUCGAAGUUACUUUGAAAGCUGUGGCACAAUAACUGAAGUUGAUUGUCUGAGGUUUCCUGACAGUGGGAAGUUUAGAGGAAUUGCUAUUAUUAGCUUGAAGGUAAGAAAUUUUGUAAAUUAUAUUCUGCAUUUAAUUUGGGCAAAAUUAGAAAGCUGUGUAUUUAAGUCCUUGCCAAUGUAACUUAGAAUUGAAAUUCUCUUCACAAACCUUACAAGCAAAGUCUUGUGGUGGUGAUGGUGAGCUGCCAAAUUCUUCUGGCUCCUCCACUUUGGAUAUGACUCGUCAACAUGUUUGUGAAAAAAUCUUAAAAGUCAGUUAGUUGUAUUCUUAGUGAUGACACUAAGUAGCUGAUCUGCCUAAAUUCAGUUAAAUAAGUUUUCUAGAAUGGUAUAAGUUGUAUGGCCUAAUCUGUGGUAGAAAUAAUAGCAUCACACAACCUCUGAAUCAAUUUAUGCUAAUCUUUUGUUUUUCGAUUAUUGGAAAAUAUAAGUUCAUGCUGAAUACAAGAUUGUUUAUCGUUUCUCAUCUCAACAUUCUAAUGUUUCUACAGACAGAAGCUGCCGCUAAACGAGCCUUGGCUCUUGAUGGAGCUGAAAUGUGAGUUUGGUUCUCAUUGGUUAUUCAAUGUGUUGUAGAAUUGGCCAAUUCUCACGUGAUUCUAAUGGAACUUAUUGUCUCAGGGGUGAACUAUUUCUGAAAAUCCAGCCUUACAAGGCAACUCGAGCCAAUAAAGUAUCUGAUUUUGCCCCACAAAUUGUGGAGGGGUACAAUAGAAUCUAUGUUGGAAAUUUGUCAUGGGAUAUUACUGAGGAUGAUCUGAAGAAACUUUUUUCAGAUUGCAAGAUAUCGUCUAUACAUUUUGGUAUGGAUAAGGAAACAGGUGAAUUCCGAGGUUAUGCUCACGUGAAUUUCUCUGAUAGUCUCUCGCUGACGCUGGCAUUGAAGUUAGAUCAGAAGGUUGUAUGUGGAAGACCUGUCAAGAUAAGCUGUGCUGUACCUCUGAAAAGAGCAGGGACCCCUUCAAAUUCUGCACCUACAAAUUCAAGUACCCAUUCAAUAUCAGUAGCCCCAACCACAGGUGCCAAUACAAUACCAGUAGCUACAACUACAGAUACAGGAGCUGAUAAUACUGAGUUGAGUAACGUCAGUGGUAAGAUUAAGAGAAGGACAUGCUACCAGUGUGGUGAAAAGGGACAUCUCUCAUCUGCUUGUCCAAUGGCAGCAACUACGUUUUCAAGUACCCAUUCAAUUGCUGUAACUACAACUACAAGUGCUGAUUCGAUACCAGUAGCUACAACUACAGAUACAGGGGCUGAUGAUAUUGGGUUGAGUGCCGUCAGUGGUAAGAUUAAGAGAAGGACAUGCUACCAGUGUGGUGAAAAGGGACAUCUCUCAUCCGCUUGUCCAAUCACAGCAACUACAUUUUCAAGUACCCAUUCAAUAUCCAUAGCUACAACUAUAAGUACUGAUUCGAUACCAGUAGCUACAACUACAAGUACCAAUUUGAUACCAGUAGCUGCAACUACAAAUACCAAUUCGAUACCAGUAGCUACAACUACAGGAGCUGAUAAUGGUGGGUUGAGUGCCAUCGGUGGUAAGAUUAAGAGAAGGACGUGCUACGAGUGUGGUGAAAAGGGUCAUAUUUCUUCAGCUUGUCCAAAGAAGCAAUCUGCUGAUAACAAUGCAAGCAUGUAGGCAGUGUCCUAAGUUUUCCUGUUAACUAUAUGUAGGAAAAACAUAUUAUCCUUCUCAUCAAACUAUAUUUUUUCGAAUAGGCUGAAAAGCGACAGAUUGCGGCUUAGUUUGAGGCAAAGAUUUGUAGAACUGACAUGUUUCUUUCUUGUUGAUAAAGCAAAUUUUGAUUCUUGCUUAAACUAUGCAUGUCAAAAGGAACGAUUAAGUGUUUUCAUGUACUUUUGUUGUAGGUUUUAGGAGUGUUUUGCUUUGGUUUUAUGUUGUAAGAGGACAGUAGAUCUCAGCUAGUUGGUUUGUCUUUCCAAAUCAUUUGAAAUGCCUUGUUUGUUUUGUAUCUUCUGCGUGAAAUCGAUCUGCUAUCAUUUACUUGAAUAGUGGGAAAAUAAAAAUAUGGGGGUGUGGCAGAUUUUAAAAAAAAAAACAUGUUUAAAAGAUGCAAAUAUGUUAAGAACCACAAAUUUCAAAAUAUGUAUGGGUAUUUGGGCUGGUCUAAGAAGCAAAUUAUAGUUAAUCUUUAGACCAAUGUGAGCAAUGUUCUGUACACAGCUCAUUAAUAUCUUGUUCCAAAAACACAAAGGGAACUCUUGUUUUGCAUCCUUUCCAUUCCAUGGUUGCUCAAACUCUUUGGCCUCUCCCCAAGCAAUUCUCAUUUGAUGCUGUUAUGAUUACUGGCUCCACUCCACUGUAACUAAAUCUCUUAUAUGCUCUGCCAAAGAGGUCUCAUUCUCUUGAUUUGCAAAUCCCUCCAACUUAAUUACUUUCAGAUGAGGCAAUAUUGUAUGGCUUUUGACUUCCUAAUGACAGAGCUGUGCUUGCCAUGCAGUAGCUUUUAGGAUCAUUCUGCACAUCGUUAGCAGAGUAUAACUGUGUAAUGAGACUCGACCAAAAUGCCUUUGAUGAACCUCGAGUCGUGCUUCUCUGUCUCUGGGGAAAGCUCCAACUCCAAGUGGAGUUUAUUGUUGGCUGCAAUGGUGACCAAGAGGAGAUAUUCACCACCUUUGCCAAAUUGCAAUUUCAGCCUCCUGGGAUGCCUUAAGGGAUCAACUUUGUCAAUAAUGACAUAGAAAUCCAACAACCACAUCGGCAGCAGCAUCUAUAGAGAGUACGGCCGAACGGCUAUACUCCAAAAUAGAAUAUUUUAAGGGUACAGCCGCGCGGCUAUACACCAAAAUACUUCAUAAAUAUAAAAUUAAAGCUUAUAUCCGCUCGGCUAUACUCCAAAAUAUAAUAUUUAAAGAAAUAGAAUAUUUUAAAAGUAUAGCCGCCCGGCUAUACGCUGUGAAUAUAAUAUCUUCUCUUAAAAGUAUAGCCGAUACGCUGCUGCCUGUUUCACUAAAGUUGUGUUCUUGAAAGCAAACUGGUUUCUAAUGCGGAUUCUGAAGGGAGAAAAGAAACAAUGCGGCAGAUAAUCUCAUUCGGCAACUUACCAAACAAACAUCUGUGUUUUCCUUCAUCAUAUCUCUAUUUGGCUAAUUGCCACAAAUCCCAUUUGGUAUAAGUUUACAUUAGUUGAACUUGAAAGAACCAUAAUAAUAUUAGAUAUAAUGUUUUUGCAUUGGAUUUCAAGAUCUUUAUGCAUGUGUUGUUAGCAUUUGAUGGAUUGAGAAAUUUAUAACCAUGAACUGAAAUGAAAAUCUCAGACCCAAUUUUGAGUCUAUACAAUAAUGCCAAAAAGUUGAAUAUGGCUAAGCUUCUUUUGAGGUUGAGUUGUUGGCUUUGCACAAACUUGUAAGCUCUCUCGUCUUUGAUUUGAAUUCACUUUUUAUAAUACAUCCUCCCCUGAAAAUCAAGGUCAGGGAAAGAUGGCCUUGUACAAAUAAGAUAAGGGAAGAUUGUGUCAACGCAAUUUCUAAAUAAAAUAAAGACUUAUUUAUUGUGGUGCCUUACGAAAUCAAUAUUAUACGAAGAAACAUAAUUAUAACGAAAAUGAUGCCGUUACCUACCUAUGUCGAAUAUGACCUUAUCUCAACCCUAUUUGUCAAAUAUAGGUAGAGUAGCCUGAACAAUAUCUUGUUAGAAAUGAAUAGAUUGUGGAGGUUGAUAUAAACUUUCGGAAUUUGCUUUGAUGUCUAUAAAAUGAAAAAAUUGUUUUCGAAACGUAACAUGGGUACCUAACAAAAAUUGUACAAGUUUUUUUCCAUUUUGGGACAUGAAUGAAGAAUUGUUUUGUUUUCAGUUCUCUCUUCUGCUUUAUUUCCUUUUCUGCCCCUUUCUUUUGGUCGGAAAUUUCCUUUUGUGUUUCUCGGGUACCUAAUAAUUGGUAUCAGAGCCGUUCCGACCAUGGGACAGCAGGGAUACCCACCGGCGACGCUGCCUCACUAUCUUCCACUCGUCUAUUUUCCCGAUCCUACACUCCCACCGCCAUGGACUGGCAUGUUCGACGGUAACCUUGCGGUGGUGUACUAUUGGAACCCCCAAACCAACGUUGCUCAGUAUGAACAUCCAGCCUCUUCCAGUUACCCAACCACCCAUCUCAUCAAUUCUCCAAUCCCCCAAUUUUGGAACUCACAUUUGCCGCUGGACUACACAACCAACUCGCCUCACCGUCUCACAACAUCGACGCCCACCGAUCUUGCUGCACCCUCUAACGUGGGAACCGGCUCCGUUGCACAUCCGCUUCAUACCUCUCUGGAAAUCCCAGACCCAAAUUCAAAGCCCCAAUCGCUGAAAGUGCUUCUGGACUCUGCAACUCAUAAACCCAGAUUGUCCAAGCGAGAGAAACGUAGAAAGUUCCUUGCUUUGCGAGAUUCAGAGGCGGUGAGUGGGAGUGGCAGUGGUGGUAAUUUUGAGGAAAACAAGGACGAGGAAGAUAAGAGGGAAGUUGGGUCAGAGGAUUUGGGGGAUGAGAAGAAGGAGGAGAAGAAAAAGAAGAGGAAGAGGAAGAGAGAUAAGAAGGAAGAAAAUGGAUCUUUGAGUUCAGAGGAAAAUGAGGUUGUGAAGGAGGAGGCUAAGAAGCCAAAGAAAAAGAAUAAGAAGAAGAAGAGAAAGGAGGCAAAGAAUGAGGAAGAGAAGAAGGAUGGUGAGCUUGGGACUGAGGAGCAAAGUGUCAAAGAGACAGAUAACAGCAGUGAUAGGUAAUUUUAGAUAGUAGCCUUUGUGCUCAAUUUGAAUUUGUAUGUGUGUUUUUUUUUUGUCAACUUUGUUUUGAUUAUGAUAUUGUUUAAUUUGUUGUUUUGGUAAGUUCAGUUUCUUUGUUCCUAUAUUUUACCUCAACACUCGAACCGCUAGUGUUUAGUAGAAGAUUGGUUGAUUUUGUAAGGUAUGGGAGGCAAUAUAGAUUGAAUGGAAGGUUUAUGCUUUCCAUGUGAAUAUAUGUUCUGUAUUUUGUGCCUCAUUCUGUUUGUGUUCUGUCAUUUUGUUUAGACAAGCGAAUGGGGAUGUUCCUACAAAAGUUUUUGUGGGAGGCAUUCCUUAUUACUCGACUGAGGACGAUAUUCAAAGUUACUUUGAAAGCUGUGGCACAAUAACUGAAGUUGAUUGUCUGAGGUUUCGUGAGGGUGGGAAGUUUAGAGGAAUUGCUAUUAUUAGCUUUAAGGUAAGAAAUUUUGUAUGUAUUAUUUUCUGCAUUUAAGUAAGGUACAAUUAGAAAGCUGUGUAUUUACGAGUCAUAUCCAAAGUGGAGGACCAGGAUAAUUUAGCAGCUCACCACUACUAGACUGUGGUAGAACUAAUAGCAUCACACAACCUAUGAAUCAAUUUAUGCUAAUCUUUUGUUUUACGAUUAUUAGAAAAUAUAAGUUCAUGCUGAAUACAAGAUUGUUUAUCAUUUCUCAUCUCAAUAUUCUAAUGUUUCUACAGACAGAAGCUGCCGCUAAACAAGCCUUGGAUCUUGAUGGAGCUGAAAUGUGAGUUUGGUUCUUUUUGAUUACUCAAUUUGUUGUAGAAUUGGCCAAUUCUCUCGUGAUUCUAAUGGAACUUCUUUUUGUCUCAGGGGUGAACUAUUUCUGAAAAUCCAGCCUUACAAGGCAACUCGAGCCAAUAAAGUAUCUGAUUUUGCCCCACGAAUUGUGGAGGGGUACAAUAGAAUCUAUGUUGGAAAUUUGUCAUGGGAUAUUACUGAGGAUGAUCUGAAGAAACUUUUCUCAGAUUGCAAAAUAUCAUCUAUGCAUUUUGGUAUGGAUAAGGAAACAGGGGAAUUCCGAGGUUAUGCUCCCGUGAAUUUCUCUGAUAAUCUCUCGCUGAAGCUGGCAUUGAAGUUAGAUCAGAAGGUUGUAUGUGGAAGACCUGUCAAGAUAAGCUGUGCUGUACCUCUGAAAAGAGCAGGGACCCCUUCAAAUUAUGCACCUACAAAUUCAAGUACCCAUUCAAUAUCAGUAGCCCCAACCACAGGUGCCAAUUCGAUACCAGUAGCUACAACUACAGAUACAGGAGCUGAUAAUACUGAGUCGAGUACUGUCAGUGGUAAGAUAAAGAGGAGGACAUGCUACCGGUGUGGUGAAAAGGGACAUCUCUUGUCCGCUUGUCCAAUUUCAGCAACUAUGUUUUCAAGUACCCAUUCAAUAUCCAUAGCUACAACAAGAAGUACUCAUUCGAUACCAGUAGCUACAACUACAAGUACCAAUUCGAUACCAGUAGCUACAACUACAAGGACCAAUUCAAUACCAGUAGCUGCAACUACAAGGACCAAUUCGAUACCAGUAACUACAACAACAAGGACCAAUUCGAUACCAGUAACUACAACAAGUACAGGAGCUGAUAAUGGUGGGUUGAGUGCCGUCAGUGGUAAGAUUAAGAGGAGGACAUGCUACCGGUGUGGUGAAAAGGGACAUCUCUUGUCCGCUUGUCCAAUUUCAGCAACUAUGUUUUCAAGUACCCGUUCAAUAUCCAUAGCUACAACUACAAGUACUGAUUCAAUACCACUAGCUACAACUACAAGUACCAAUUCGAUACCAGUAGCUACAACUAUGAGGACCAAUUCGAUACCAGUAGCUACAACUACAGGUACAGAAGCUGAUAAUGGUGGGUUGAGUGCCAUCAGUGGUAAGAUUAAGAGAAGGAUGUGCUACCGGUGUGGUGAAAAGGGACAUCUCUUAUCCGCUUGUCCAAUUUCAGCAAUGUUUUCAAGUAUCCAUAGCUACAACUACAAGUACUGAUUGAUACCAGUAGCUUUAACGACAAGUACCAAUUCGAUACCAGUAGCUACAACUACAUGUACAGGAGCUGAUAAUGGUGGGUUGAGUGCCAUCAGUGGUAAGAUUAAGAGAAGGAUGUGAUACGCGUCUGGUGAAAAGGGUCAUAUAUCUUCAGUUUUUCCAAAGAAGCAAUCUGCUGAUAACAAUGCAAGCAUGUACAGUGUCCUACGCUUUCCUGUUAACUAUAUGUUGGAAAAACAUAUUAUCCUUCUCAUCAAACUAUUAUUUGUUCGAAUAGGCUGAAAAGCCACAGAUUGCCGCCUAGUUUGAGGCAAAGAUUUAUAGAACUGAGAUGUUUCUUUCUUAUUGAUAAAGAAAAUUUUGAUUCUUGUCUAAACUCUCCAUGUCAAAUGGAACGAUGAAGUGUUGCCAACGUGGGUCUAGUCUAGUAGAAAAGGGUAUUGACUUGUUAGGGUUAUCAGGUUCGAACUUUCGUGACACCUUGAUAGGGUUAGUGUGUAUAUGAGAAACCUCCUCCUCUUAUAGUUUAGACUAAUGAUUGUAUUUAUAAGUUUAUUUUUUAUUUUCUAAAAAGAAACGAUGAAUUGUUUUCUCUAUCGCUUUUGUAAGUUGUGAAAACUGAAUUGGUAUUCUUCUCACUGUUAGAGGAAAGUAUAUAUAGAGCCAAGCUAAGCUAAGCUGUCUUAACACUUCCGAUAUGUUCUUGAAAAGACCAAUGAUUUUUUCAGAGUUAGCAGACUAUGGUUUUCUUUGAAGAUGGGCCUAACUGAACCUGAGCCAACCCAACCAAGUACAUUAGAACAUUUAUAGGCCGAAGUACUUUCAGAUAUACAAAGUCUUGUGGGGCCAUGCCCAUGUAUACUGUACACACAUUUUAACGUAGGACAAAAAUGGCUUCUUAUUUUCUCUAAAUAAGAUCAGAAUUUUUUAUUUUUUAUUUAUAAAUAAGAUCAGAAAAAGUUUAAGAACACUGGUGUGAUGGUUCCAAAACUUAUGAUAUGUCUAAUGAGCUCCCAAACCAUCAUGGAUCCUUAACCAGCAUGAGCUGAGACGAAAGUUCACUCUAUAUUUUCUUUCAAUCUGUAAUUCUUAUUACUUGGGAAAAAAAGAGAAAAAAGAUUGAACCCUCAAUUUUCUCACCCUACCUAGAAUGUAUGUCUAAAUUUUACAUAAAAUGAUUUCAUUUACCCUCUAUUUGAAAGGAGAAAAAUAACUCGGAAUUUAGCCAAACUUAAAAAAUUGAAGAGGAUUUAACUAAAAGUCGGGAGUUUUCUUGAAAAUGAUAUAAUUUGGUUAUAUAUAAAUUUAAUGAAGUAUAUAUUACGGUCUUCAGUUUUUUUUAUUGGAAAAAAAAAAUCAAAUUAGAAGCUGUUAAGAUGAGGUGGAGAAAAGCUUGGAACUAGGUUCAAAAGUAAAAUUGCAAGGAAAAACAAAAAAGACAGAUUUGGGAGCUGGGUCAACCAUCAUCCCUUCAUAAAUUAUUGACAACAAACAUUUCAUUUCCUUCUUUCAAGCACGCCAAUAUUUUUUGGCUGCCAUUGGAUGAAUUUUUCCACUUCAAUUUUAACUUUGAUUCACCAAAUACAUUGCUGGUAAAAUACUUCAAUGUUUGUUUGUUUACAAUAAUAUGUGAGUAUCAUGCAAACUCAUAAUUUUUUCAUUUACGGCACAAAAUAAGUAAAUAAAUAACAAUUGGUAGUGAGUGGAGCUUUGUAGAAGAAACUUUUUUUUAAUCAACGAGGGAUGGGAAUGGCUUAUGAGGUCUAGUUUAGUGUAAAUCCUUAGAUUUAUAGAUUAAUGAUUUUAAGUUUAAACUCUGGUGAAAUAUUGGCAUUGUGUGUAAGAAAAUUCCUUUUCCUUUCCGAUGUUGACAAAAAAAAACCGAGAGAUGGUAGUUUCGAACAUAAACCUCUUGUAAACUUGAGAAGAAAACUAUCAUUAAACUAAAAAAGAAUUAAUAUUUUUUCGGUUGUUGAAAAAGAGAUAUAUAAUAAAUAGACAAACAGAGCGAAAGAAAGAGGUAGGAAGUCCCUCAUGUCCAGAACUUAACAUUCAUUGUCUUGCCCUGAACAAAAAUACCAACCCGCGUCACUUGCAAUCACAACUUGUUUGGCUCCCUCCACACCUCUCAACCUUCUCCUUCACGUAUUUUUCUUCAACUUUUUAACACUGGCAUUGCAUGCUUUGAAAUCCGACAAAAUUUAGCACCUGUAUUUAUAUGUCGCGCAUCACAUAUAUGUAUAUAUAUACAAAGUUACAAACCUUCAUCUUCUAACCCCACCCUUUAAGCCAAACCAUCUUCUUCCACAUAUAUAACAUAUAUGCAUCAUGUUCCUUUUGCUCAACAUCUCUGUUUCUUCCGUUGUCUUCAAAUUGGAGGUUUUUGAUUAAUGGGUUUUCUCCGUCUCCCUCUGAAUUGUAUGAGAUUCUUUAAUUUUCUUGGUUGACACUUGAGCCUUGACUUGCCCGAGUUUGUUUUCUUCAAAGUCUUGAAAUGGGACCCGUUAGAGGGAUGAAGAGGAGGAAGAAGGCAGAGAAGAAGGUUGACCAGAAUGUGUUAGCUGCAGCUGCUUCACUGAGUUCUCAACCCCAGCCCGUCGAUUGGUGGGACGACUUCUCUCAGAGAAUAACUGGUACAAAUAUUCUUCAAGUGCUUUGCGUUUCGCAUUAUCUUUUACUUGGGUUGUUGGUUAAUUUGUUUUAUUGGGUUGACUGUAAAUAUAUGCAUUGGUUUGGCUCUCAGUGGGUAUAUCUGGUUUGUUGUGUAUGAGUAUUUGAUGAUAUAUUAGGACUUGGGUCCAAUGCAGUUUUGAAGAAUUGGAUUGAUUUUAUAAUGCAUGUAUGUUUGUUGUGAUUGUGCAUAAAGGAUUAACUUCAGCAAGUGGAUUUCUGGUAUAUAUUAUUACAAUCUAACAGUUCUUAGCUUCUGUUGAUUUGAUUUAUCGCGCUCUGGUUUCUCCUACCUCAUCGAUAUUGCUCAGACAGAGCACAGCAUGCCUAGUGUGGUGAUAAUUGAAGCCACCAUUUUAGGUUUUCCUUGUAUCAGUGAAAUCUAAUGACAUAGGUUAAUACUCAAUUCUGGUGUUAACUAUAAGAUUGAGUUUUUAUAUUUAUUAUUUCCUUGAAAUAAAAUGAUGCAAAUUAAGAACUUUGUUAGCAGUUUCCUGAUUUAUAAUUCUGAAAACGAUCAAGACUUUCUUUGCUGGUUAUGUUAUUGUUGUUUUGUUGAUUUUUAAUGUCUCUAUUAGCAGGCAAUCCUGUUAGUGUUUAUAAGGGAAAUUUGGUCUAAGUAUGUGCUGAAAUUCCAAAACAGACUACAUCUAGUUCUCAAUUAUUAGAUUGUUAGAUUGUAGUAAUGUAUGAUGAUGUAUGUUUUUCUUGAGAUAAGAUUGCGGUAAACAUUUAUAGUAUAUGCAUUUUCUUCUCUUCAGCCUUUUUGUAUAUUAUCUUGAUACUAUCAAUUCAGGUUCAUCAUCGUGAAUAUGCCCUGUAUUCUUGAUUAGAUUCUGGAAAGCCUGUUUGUAUGCUUGACCACUGCUUACUUAGUUACCCAACAUAUAGUUAUAGGGAUCUCUUGGCAUUGGCUUUCAAUGGCUUUUGCUUAGUGUUGUGCUAUUUCCUAAGAACAAUGUAUGUUUGGAUGAGGGGCCACUAUAAUUGAAAAAGUAGCCGUCCUGGAUUCUUGAUUCUAACCCUUAUUGGGAUUGGACUGGCCAAAAUCAGUUCUGCAAAAAAUUGAAACAAAGUGAGAGAACUGAUUUGGAAAACAUUUGUAGGCAAACAAAGAACAAUCUGGCACAUAUGUUUUGUUUUCGUUGUGUCCUGAGAUGACAAGAUUAGGUUCAGAAGUCUCAUUUGUUAGUUGAAGAGUAUUUAUUCUGAUGAGAUGUUGAUAAAAACUGUGCUCUUUAUCUUCUUGUAUGUUAAGUUAAUCUAUAAAUUUCAAAUUCUGUUGACAAAGAUAUCCUCUAGGUUUGGAUUGUUCUAAUUUCUUUGUUUAAAACAAUACAAAGUGCUGUUCUUUAAUGAAAAAGGUGAACUUAUUGCACUUUUCUGUACUUUUCUUAUGAAAUCAAAAUAUGCAGACUUCUCAAUUGAGUCUUUCCAAUUACAAAUGAGAUAGCUUUCCUACAGAGCAUUUAUCUCUUAUAUGCUGCUCUGUUAAACAUUUUAGGGGGAUCCAUUGUGGGAAGCUCUACCAUUCCUUGGCCUGAUCAGGUGGGAGAGUAGUUCACAGAACUAAAAAGCUGCUUGUUUAGUCCAAAAUGAGAUUAUCAGUAUGCUUAUCUGGAUAGAGUAGGUAGCAUAAUCAUUAAAAAUGAUGAUGGGAAUCUAGCAAACUAAUUUUCUUUGGUAGAAGUAAAAAACAAUCAGUUGUUGUGGUUUGUAAAAAUUUAAGAAGAAAAGGAAACAGUAAGCAAACGAAGACUGAAACAAAGUAGGCAAACGAGAAUAAGUACAGUGGCGUUAUCUGCCUUUUCAUUUGGUGUUCUUUUAGUGUUUACAAAUAUGCUCAUUUUAUCAUGCAUUCAAUGAUUUUGGUUUGUGCAGUCUUAUUGUUAAGAAAGAAAAUUUUCCCAGAAUAAGUUUGAGGUCUCCUGCUAGUUGUACAGCAGAAAGGCAUAAGGUUUUAGCGAUGUGAUUAUACCAAAUACCUAAAGCCCUGAAAGAUUAGCUUUCAAACAUUUGCUUAACGAAGUAAUUAUUAGCAAGGAAUUGAUUUUUUUGUAAUAGUUUAGCAAAUAACUUUUUUCAAAAGUCUUGCUAUGUGAAAUGACUUUUGGUUAUGUUGUUGUGUGAGGAACUUAAAUUUGCACCAUCUUCUUUUUUGACUUUGCUUGUGUUCGAGUCGACUACAAUUUGGACUAUAUCAAAACUCUUAACUCUUGCGAUUAAAUGAAUUAUAUCCUCUUCUACAAAGGUUUCUAAUCUUUUGGUUCUGCUAUGGGAAUUGACAUAGAGGUUCUGAAAACUCACAUUGAUAAAUGAUUAUAUUUUUGUUCUCUACUUUCUAGGCCCUUUAUCUCAAUCAAAAUCAAAAGAUAGAAUGAAAUUUGAAUCUGUCUUCAAAGUUUCGAGAAAGACAUUCAGUUACAUCUGUUCACUUGUAAAGGAAGAUAUGAUGACUAGCAGCUCAAACUUCAGUUAUUCAAAUGGAAAGCAGUUGUCUCUAAAUGACCAAGUUGCUGUUGCUCUUAGGAGGCUUAGCUCUGGUGAGUCCUUAGUGAGCAUCGGUGACUCAUUUGGGAUAAACCGAUCAACCGUUUCUCACAUUACCUGGAGGUUUGUGGAAGCAAUGGAAGAAAGAGGGCUGCACCAUCUUUGUUGGCCUACAAAGCAUGGUGAAAUGGAGGAGAUAAAGUCCAAGUUUGAGAAAAUCCGCGGCCUUCCAAAUUGUUGUGGUGCAAUUGACAUCACACACAUCCUGAUGACCCACCCUACACCGGGCUCACCAGAUGAUGUCUGGCUCGAUUGCGAAGAAAAAUGCAGCAUGAUCUUACAGGCAAUCGUUGACCCGGAUAUGAGGUUCCGUAACAUUAUUACAGGAUGGCCAGGAAGUUUGAGUGAUGAGCUAGUCCUUCGGAGUUCAGGUUUUUUCAAGCUGUGUGAAGAAAGAAGUUGUUUAAACGGGAAGAAGUUGGUGCUUUCAGAAGGAACAGAAGUAAGAGAAUACAUAGUUGGAGAUUCUGGUUUUCCUCUCUUGCAAUGGCUUUUCACUCCUUACAAGGGGAGAGAGCUCUCAAACUAUCAGUGCGAGUUUAACAAGCGGCUCUCUGCGACGCAGAUGGUGGCGCGCAGGGCGUUGGUGAGGCUGAAGGAGAUGUGGAAGAUAAUUCAAGGGGUAAUGUGGACGCCUGAUAAGAACAAGUUGCCAAGGAUUAUUCUGGUUUGCUGUAUUCUGCACAAUAUAGUUAUUGAUUUGGAGGAUGAGGCGCAAGAUGAAAUGCCCUUGUCUCAUCAUCAUGAUUCUGGUUACCGGCAACAAACUUGCGAAUCUGCUGACAAUACUGCCUCUCUCCUGAGAGAGAAGCUUGCUAUUUACUUGUCUGGAGAGAAGAACCUUGCUUCAGUCUUACCUGGUUGAAAUCGGAAAUCUUAUAAUAUUUUGGGGAACUUGCUUUUGUAGAAACUUUAGUUCUAAAUAUAAUUUUGGCGGAAUGAAUCUCUCGCUCAAAUUGUGUUUCUUUUUCACAUGGGUUUUUUUAAAACAUAAUUGAAGGGUUUGCUUUGUUUCUUUUGUCAUGCAAAAAACGAUCGAUGUUAUUGGCAACAGAAAAAAUAUAUAUUUAUAUAUGCAAGCUGGGCAAGAAAUCCACACCAGAAUGAGGUAACCAAUAAUCCACGAAUUACAAAUCACAUUCUCAAAGGCAAUGCAAUACAAUAGUAAACCAAACUCAAGUCCAUAGACUAUAAACAGGUCACAUAAAAACCACAUAGUAUAGAGAUGACCCCCUCCAGUUGCUGAGCUGAUGCUUAACAUUCAAGUCGCCCGGCUUCUAAUAACAUCAAGGCCCAUUUCGGUUGGAUCGGUAGCUUGCAACUCUACCUGAAUACCGUCCAACUCUCUCUUAAACCUGUCCUUCGAACUAGCAUAGAUCAUUUUGCUUCUCACCUUCGAUGUGUCAGGGGACCUUCAUACAUAGAUCUUAGAAUGAGUGCCCCGAUCAAAAGGAAGAUAAAAGAAUAAUUACAAUCAGAGUCAAACUCUAAAAGUCUAAUUAUUACCAAGCAAUGAAAAUAAUCCGGCUCUUCUGGCAGUUCUCCUCAGUCACAUAAUCAAAGUCAUAGACAGCGUAUCGGCAUUCAUCAGCAGGGAGGCUUGCAGAGAAAUCCUCGUAGCUAUCAGCUGGUUCACCCACCUUUUCCACUAUAACCUGCUUUUGCUUCUCCUCUAUCUUGUACACUAUGAAGCGGUAAGUUCGUUUUGCCUUCAAUUCUAAAAACUUUAGCUUGCAUUCAUCAUGCACAGCCAUCCCAGACGCUGCGUUUGCCUGGAGAAAUUUAAUCGAUACCGAAUUGCAUCAAACACCAACAAAGCAUCACUAGAAAUUCCUAUAAUUACACCCAAAAGCUUCUCCAAGCAUAACUGUUACAUAUGCACCCGAAAGUUUGACACCAAUCAAAAUCCCAAACAUCCUAAAACAGAACACACACUGCUUUUCUUCCCCUCGGCUUAUAAACUCUCACUUCAUAGUUCAAACUACAAAUGCUCAUGAGUGUCGUCAAGCAUAUCAUAAUUCAAAACUAUUAACAAAAGUAAAAUGAAUGAUGAAGCACAGGCAUACUGAUAUACUUACCCUUUAAAAAAUUAAGCACCACUACUACCAAGCAAAAGAAAAAGCAAAAAAGAAAUCCAUAUGAAGGAAAAUCCUGAAUAUAGCCAGGAAAUAAAAUCUUAGGCUGAGUAUUUUUAGCCAUUGCAGUAAUCAUACCAUAUGUGAAUCAAUCAAAAUCAAAAUGCACACUGGCACUGCAAUUAAGCAUGAAGACAAUAACGAGAGGCUCAAAAAUUGUAGAAAAUUCAUGAAUCAAUCAUGAUCAAGUAAUUCGAAUCAUACGAUUGAAUAUCACGACUGAAUUGAAAACUAACACGCUAUCUGACGAAACUUAUACUCCACCACAGACGAAUUUCACGAAUUUUUCCCAAUCAAGCAGUCAAAAUUACUAAGAUCGAACACCAAAAUCGCAGAGAUUAUACUAAAGAGAAUCGUUAAGCAAACAAAAAUUUAAAAUAAUAACACUAGCAUGCAAAACCCUAUAGAGAGAAGACUGAAGUAGAGGAAGUACUCACCAUUUUCCCGAGAAAAUGUCGAGGUAGAGAGAAAUGGCGAGAAAAUCUAGGGCUCAGAGAGAGAGAGAGAGAGAGAGAGAGAGAGAUGGAUAGGCCUAACGGUGGGGAGAGGGCAGCGAGUCGCGCCUUGAAAAUAUGGAAGGCCUUCGCGGUCGGUAGCUCCUGCUAAUAUCACCGUGGUCGGUGAUCCAACCAUACGAGGACACGUGUUGUACGUUGUUGAAUAGCGUGCAAUGCGAGGGAUGGCAUGUCCCUUUACGUCUAAUGUGGGUUACUUGGGGGCUGCUACGACUUCGUUUGCCUUCAUGGAUUUGGCCCAAAAUAGUUCCUGGUCCAACAUUCCAUGCAUGUUUUUUUAUUUUUUUUAUUUUAUACAAACGAUAUUGAGAAAUCGGGAAUUAAACUUAAACACAUGACUUUGAUGAAACUAUAUUUAAGCUAAAAGGAGAGUACCUGCAUAAUUUUUUUUUACUUAUUUGGUUAAAUUGUGUUUAUAUUACAAAGGAAAAAGGGUCUCAUUUUAAUUUAUGACCUUGAAUCACUCAAAAAUGUCACGACUGACUUACUUUUUGUUAAAGAACUACUUGUACAUCUUUUCAUCUCGUGUUUGAUCAAAAUAGCCAAUCUUUUUGUUAAAGAAUCACUUGUACAUCUUUUCAUCUUAACAUUCGAGCUUUGUUCUUACUCUCUUUGAUAUCGAAUAAAAGGAGUAUGAAAUGAUGUAAUAUUAGGACUUGCCCAUAAAACCGAAGCUACUCAACACAUCACCUUUUGUUAUAAUUAAGUAACAAAGUGGGGCAAAGGGACCUCUCUUUGGUUCAAGAUUAAUAUUCUCUCAAUUCCCUCUUCAAAUCAACUCUAAGAAGGAAGGGAUUAAAAUUCUAUAGUUCAAAAUAGUUGGGCUGGUGUUUAUAGAUCAGUACAAGUUAUUAGCUAUGACAAUUUUUCUUGAUGUAGCAGCAUGAUCAACACCCUCUUCCAUGGUCACUUUCUGAGUAACAGAUACAGGAACCAAACAAAGGCCUUUGCUUCUGAGGUCGAGCACCUGCCGGCUCCCACAUUCCUGUUCACAAUUCCCAAUAUAAUUUGUAAGGAAAAAAAUUCAGGGUUAGAGGGUAGAAAAACUUGUGUGAAAUGGUAUGACGAGUGAAAAAGUUAUCAUGCGUAGAAUAACGUGAUUAGCCGGGAUAGCAAAACAGUGCUAUCCCCGUUCCACGCACAAAUUUAAGUGAUUGCCUACCUGUGUGUGAAGAACUGCAGCAUUCUUGUAUGAACUACUAAACAUCCUUAGCAGAUUCUGCUAAAAAAAAAAUUAAAAACAAAAACAAAACCCAAGAAACAAAUUAGCACUAAAAUUUAUAUGCAGCAUAAAGAAGUGAAGAUAUUGUUAGGUCUAUAUAAACCUGAAUUUGUUCUUGAAGUAGCAUGAUAUAAAUGGAAGCCUCUUGAAGAACUGAGGCAGUGUCAGUCUGCAAUGAGUUCAGAAGCCUAAUGUAAUUAAUUUGCAGAAAAACAAUAUUUUUUCUAUAAUUAGAAAUCUAGAUAUAAUUUUUUUUUGUAUAUUCUGCAAACUGCUAACCUUGCCAUAGGGGGAAACCAGUUUCUGAAGAACCGUGAUCUUGUCACUGAGCUUUUGGCUUCUUCUCACAGGCGCAUGCAACUUCUGGCAAAAGCAGCAAAAGCUCAACAACAAGGCCAUAAUAACUUAAAUGAAGAGAUAAAUUAAUGUUAAAUUAAUUUUGUUUAACAGACCUUAUUGUUUUGUUGUUGCAUUGAGGUUUCUUGGAACUGUUGAUGCCAUUGUUGUUGAGAAUUUGUCACCUUGCUUCUCUUAUUUUGGUUCCAUUCGUUUAGAGCUGUCUUGUCACCAACCAGACCACCAAGGUCAUCAACCUCAAUUGGACGUUUCCUUGCAUUUUGUAUGGCCUGGAAAUCCUUCAAGGGAACAAAAAGAAAAAAACCAGAAUAAAAUUAGUUCUAGGAUUUGUUAUCACCUCAGUUGUAUUAUUGUAUAAAUGUGUGGUCCAAAUUGAUAAUCGAACAAUAGAAGAUGAAUGAUUGUCUUGUUACCGAAUUUACUUUUCGUAUUUUAACUUAAACAUACAUAAGUAUACAGUUGUCAACUGUUGAUUUGUGUGAAACCUAUCGUGACACCCAUAUCAACAACUAACAAUCAUGUGAAGUAAAUCGCUUGAUAUUUGAAGUGAAUUGGGAAGUCUUGCUAGUUUUUUAUUAAAAUCUUAGCUACCAACUAAAGAAGAUCAACAUACUGCUUCAAAUUGGGGAGCUGAAAUCUUCUUGUCCAGCAAGACUGGCUGCUGGGAAACACCAUCAUGGUAUCUGAAUGCACCAGAUGGAUAAGCUGCAAUCAAAGAAGGUAAUUCAUUAAACCCAGAGUUCUUGCGAGUCAAUUAUUAGAGUUUACUAAAUUACAAAAUGUUUGAUGAGGGUAGGUGGCAAGGACAAGAAAAACUGGGGAAAAAAAAUUUAAAAUUAGGCCAAAUUAGAAAAGUUGUUCCUCAAAACAGAAACAUAUGGAUAGGGAAAUAAACCAAACCUGGUUGAUAAGCAAGGAGGGAUGAUGACUGCAGAGGAAGAGGAAGAGGAAGAGAAAAGUCGUCUCCAGCUCUGCUAUUUUGGUUGUCACUUUCGAAUGCCUUGGACCCCAUGUAAAACCCACUGCCAUAUUUGCCAUGACCAAUUAACUUCAGUUUCUUUUUUUUCUUGAAAGAAAGAAAGAAAGCAGAAGAGAAGGUUGCAUUAUUGUAAGUGGGGUUGGGGGCCUAAUUAACUUAUUUUGUAGAGGCAGCAUUUGGAUAAACUGUGAUUGUACAAUUACUUUAAAUGAUCCCAAUAAUGGUUUUGAUAUACUUUGUUGUGAAGUAUUGAAGAGAAGAUAAAUCAGUAAAUCAAAGCUAAGCUUACCAAGAGAGGUGAAUUCUAAAACAUUUUCUACUGCUGGAGGGACGAUUAUCAGUCCCGAGAUUUUUUUAUUUUUAAUUUUUUAAAGACAUUUUCUAUUAAGAAAUGCGAUAACAUAUUAAAUCACUACACUAGUAUGGAAUAUUGAUGCAUACAAUUACUUUUUCAAACUUAUUUGUACAUUUGAAAGAUAUAGAAACUAUGGAAAAAUAAUCCCUGAUCAUUUUAAAGACUGGUAUAAUUUUUAAAGACUGGUUCAUAUGAUUUCCAUUAAAAAAAAAAUUGGGAUACAAUUUUGAAAGGGAAAAAGACUACUUACAGUCUUCUGUUCAUGUUGACUUGAGCAUCCCAAUUUGACAUCUGAACUUCAAUAUUGUUUCCUGAAGACACAAAACAAUCACUGGAUGGUUACGUAGAACCAUCUUCAUCAUAUACAAGUUUCUGCAGAGCCCAAAUGCCCUUGUGGUCAAAUUAAACAAUAUCAAUCUAUGCUAAUUAAGAUUUGUAAAUUGUAAUGAUCAUUACCAAAGUUGUAAAGAUGGAAGGGUACAGAUGGAAGAAGAGCGUUUCUCAUUGAGCCCAACAAAUCCACUUCUGCAGAGACAGAUAGCCCUUCUGUUGAUGUUUGCACACACAGAUCAGAAAAGCCUUAUCUUGCCAAAGUGAUCCUAUCAACUUCUAAACACAGAAAAUGAAAACACAUAAAAUAAAAUAAAAAACCGAAGUUGUCAAAAAUGUUGUCUAAUUGGAAGCACAAUGCAUGCACACAGAAAAUGUGGCCUUGGAGUUUCGUUAAAAUUCUUAAUCAAACUAAAAAUCCAGCACCAAGCACGAUCGAAAGAACGAAAAUAAAAUCCCAGUAUACCAAGAAAAAGUUACCCAAGGAAGCAUUGAUUCAAAGAAACUAAUUAGCCCCAAAAAAACCAAAAACUUUAAAUAUCAAACUGGAUUAAGAAAUACACAAGUCAGAACUGAAAUGGCAAGAUUUGGAGCCCAAGAUUACUCUGAAAACAUGAUUCAGAACCGACUGAAUUCUCACCUCUGAUCUCAAAAAACUCUAAACUAGGAAGGGUUUGCCAGUGAAAGAGCCAAGACCAAUGAGAUGAGAAUUUGUCCAAAGGUGGAGGUAUAUAUUCUGCAGUGGAGGUGUGAGCUUCGGGCUCCUUUUGAGUGUAGCAACGGUUCUUAUCCUUAAAGAGAAAACGUUGGGAAGACAAGGUUAUAUGUAAUUGGUAAGAAACUGCAUGAUCAUGAAAGGAAUAUGAAACGUCCAGAUGACUCAGAACCUUAAAUUAUAUAAUGCCAUGGGGCGGCUCUCUCACUCUCUCUCUCUCUCUCUCUCUCUCUCCCCCUAGCUACCAAGUUAUCUGUUUGCUUUCGCUAUCACUUAACUUGACUUGCUUUCUAUUAAUAAUAUGCCUCGAAAAUGACUGGUUUUUUUUUUCCAGCAAUUGAUUUGUAUAAAUUUAAUCACGCUGCCAUAGUCAAAGCUUAAUCGUAUAUGUACAAACAAGAUGAUGGAAAGUUAGAUAAAUGAGUACAUGUUGACUCGGUUUCUGUUCUGUUCCAAACUCUGCAUCAUACACAGUUUUAAGUUGAUCCUUUUUUUUUAAAGCUAUAAACUACCAAAGAUUCGAUUAGUUCCGUGUGAUUACACCACCGUACGUAAUGUUACUAAUUCACUUCAUAAUAUUAUGCAACAACAGACUGUCACACCUAAGAGGGAACUGCAAAAUGAGGGAUAUACAGUGAGAAGCUAACAAUUUUGGGUCACUUACUGAAAUGAAAUAUGGGGUUUAAAUUUUGGUCAUUGCUCUGUUUUUGGCAUUUGUGAGAAAUCAAUCCAGAUCAUAUAUGUUUGUUUCCGGAGUCUGUCACGUGAACGAGUCUCAGAAGCCAGUUCUAAUUUGGAUAUAACAGCUAGAGAAAACUGGCUAGUUAUACAACUUUGGAAGUCUCAGCUGGUAAGCGAAGGAGGUCAGAUUUGCUACUUUAGUACUUGGUCUAAUUUAUCUGCUUUAGCUGGUACUUUUGAAAAUGAAAUGUUAUAAGUGUGUACAAACAAAAUACCAUAAAGCCAUCUUAAUUAGUAGAUCAUGAAUAAGCCAAGGCUGAUCAAUAUGAAAAGAGAGAACGUUAAUGUAAAAGGUAUACACCUGUGACAUGUAAGUUUCUCUCGAACGUUAACGUCAAAGGUAUACACCUGUGACAUGUAAGUUUCUCUCGAACGUUAACGUAAAAGGUAUACACUGCAUAACAUAUAUAAAUUUCUCUCAUUGCCCAUAGUAAGAUAAAAAGAACUCAUAAAAACCAAGAAUUAUAUGCAAGUCAAGAAUACAGAUAAACAAACCUCUCCUAAUGUACUUUGUCUUCCAGUGCCUAGGCUCAUCGAAGCUUAAGUUUGACCUCUUCCUACUAUGGGGUUGACCAAUGUUCAUACCCCAUACAAAUGUACCUGUAGAACUGCAAAUUAACAGCAUCAUCAUCUUAUAUAUAUAUAUAUAUAUAUUACUUUUAAUUAAUUUCCUUUGCAACUGCAAGUAGUUCUUGUUUGGUUGGUGAUUCUCGGACCGUCCUUGAUGUUAAUUCUUAAUUAAUCCUAUAUUAAUUAUCAAUAAUUUAGUUCAUAUAAGAUAAUAAAGUAAAUAUUAGCACGACUAAAUAAAGUCCUAUAACUGUUGUUAUCUUGAAAUCUCUACAUGUUAUGUUUUUUUCUGUUUUUAUUCUCCGGAAAAUUAAAUAAUUAUAAAUAAAUAAAAACUAAGUCAGCCUCCUGUCUUUGGUGUGCAAAAUAUUAACAAUCCUCAAAGCGACUACGUGAUGACAUGUGGACAAUUGUUCAGCGUCCAAUGUGAUAAUCAAGUUGGAGUAAUUUGCAUGGUUUGAGUCUGUGACUGCAGAAAACAAACCUUAUUCUUAUGUUGUUAUUUGAGGGAGAGUUUAAAAAUAAAAAAUAAAAACAUUAUGGUUGACCAGGUGGAAAUUCGGGAGGUCAAAGUAGGAGAUUGUCAUUUAGGUCUUGUUUUCAACCUUGAAAAAAUGAGUUGAAAUUCAUUUACAUGAAUGAGUCUUCUUCCCCAUGCAAAUAUAUUAUUAUGAGAUUUUGCAUGGUCUACGGUUUGGGUGUAUAUUUUAAUGAGCUUUGUGAAUCUAUACGGUCUGUAUUUUUAUGAAGUCAAUCCUCUCUCUCUCUCUCUCUCUCUCUCUCUCUCUCAAAUCGAAAUCCAAUUUAUUAUAAGUUAGCCAUAUGAAUGAAUCGUCAUGUUUACGAUAACCAUUUGCAGGCCUUUAUAUAAAAGGAAAUGCUACUUCGCAUGCACAUAUAAUUAGUGUUCUAGAAACAAUUAAUAAUUCUAUGUUAUUUUGAAGUGAAUAAUAACCACAACUUAAUUUGGUUUUGUUGCCGAAGUUUGGAAGGGAGAGUAGGAAAAACUCACACACAGGUAUCAUGAGAGGUUUAAAAAAUAGAGAAUUGUGAAUGAUACAUAAAAAAGUUAUUAUGGACUUGUUAAAAUGCAACUUUUCUCUAACAUUUUCAUACGAGAGGAAUGCAUGAUGACUUUUUAAUGUUAAUAAUUUGUUGAAACAUAUUAUAAAAAGUAAAGUUUUAUAUUUAUUGUGACAUAAUAAAAUGGGACUAUAAACUCAUAACUAUAUCACUUAAUUUAUUCCUCAAUCUCAGACAAAUCAUAGUAGUAAUCUAUUCACCAAUUUCAAUCUCCUUUAAUAACCAAAUACAAAUACAAGUACCCAAUUUGGGCUGCAUAAUUCCCGCCCGAGCUUUAAUGGGGCCGUUGCAUGAAGACAAUGGGCCUGACAGCGAAUUCGAUCCUAAGGAAACGACGACGUGUUGAACCAAAUAAGGGUCCGUAAGGGCAAUUCAGUAAAAGGCGCCCUCAUUCCCACCAAAUAUAUGUGCUCGGUUUCACUAACUCGUUCCUUCUUAAGCCCUAGAAACCCUAGCUCUCGGAGGCGCCUCUGCUGAUAUUGCGCAUCUUUUCUGGUACGUGAAGACUUCACUCUAAAACUUCAUUCUCUUCAUCAAUAAGUGAAACUGUUUCGAUCUGUGUUCCUUUUGAGGCUCUUAUUUGUUCAUGUAUGACCCUUUUCAUUUAUUUUGGAUGAUUUUUUGAGGUGUAGAGUUGAUCCUAACACAUCUAGAUCUAUUGGAUAUUGCUUUGAUCAAUUUGGUUUCAAAUAUGUUUUGAUUAGGCGCCUGUGUAGUUGUGAUUUAUGAUUUGAUGUGUUUCUCUGGAUUGAAAUGCUGAAACUUUUUUUCUGCUCAAGGCCAAUUGUUUGUUUUGUGUUUUAUUUUUGUAGGAAUAGAUGUUCUGGAAUUGGGUUUAACAAAUUAUGAGUCUUAAACAAACCACAAUAGUUGUUUAUUGAAUCUUGAUUAAUAUGUUUGACCCAGCUAGAAAUGGGAAAAGGGAUCAAACUACCAAUAUGGUGGUUGAUUGCGUUUAUUAUAUAAUUAGUUAGACUGUAAGAUUUGACAAGUGAAUCUGUGUAAUUCUGGUCCCAUUGAGUAGGAACACAUUGAAAUGAGGUUUCUAGUUACAUGUUUCUGUUUGUCUCAUUUGUUUUACUUGAUUUUUUUGGGUGCAAAACCCGAUGAUCUUAAUGAAUUCUUUUUAUAACAUGCAGAAGCGACAAUGGUGAGAGUUAGCGUUCUGAACGAUGCGCUCAAGAGCAUGUACAAUGCAGAGAAAAGGGGCAAGCGCCAGGUCAUGAUCAGACCAUCAUCCAAGGUCAUCAUCAAGUUUCUUUUGGUGAUGCAAAAGCAUGGUAUGUAUCUUUUAUUUAAUUCUUAUAUUCGCCACUUAAAUAAUUUCCCAGUUGUUUCUUAGUUGAAAAUUUUCUGAUUAUAUAGACAUUUAUGCUUUUGUUUCUCUCUAUAGGAUACAUUGGUGAGUUCGAGUAUGUUGAUGACCACAGGGCUGGUAAAAUUGUGGUCGAACUGAAUGGACGGCUUAACAAAUGUGGGGUUAUCAGCCCUCGUUUUGAUGUGGGUGUUAAGGAGAUUGAAGGCUGGACUGCAAGAUUGCUUCCAUCUAGACAGGUUAGCCAGUUGUUAUCAGUUAACUAUUUCAAGCCUAGAAACGUGUAUAUUUCUUGAUGGGUUCCUGUUGAGUAAUAACAUUGUAGUUUGGAUUCGUUUAACAUGUAUAUUUUUUCAAUUAAUUUUUAGAAUGUAGAAAGAUGUGCAGGAUUAGGUCAUUAUAUUUGGUUGAUCAUGUUAGUGGUGGUGAUUCAUAUAGCUCUGUAGUUGGUUCCCAUUUGAAUCAAACGUUGAGAUAUCCUGUAAUAUGGUUAAUGUGUUAUAGUAAUCUAGAACCCUUAUAUCGAUUUCUAGUCUGGUUUGGAUGUCUCAUUUGAUUCCCUUAUUAUAUCGAUUUCUAGUCUGGUUUGGAUGUCUCAUUUGAUUCCCUUAUUGCGUUUCAUGGUGUGCAACUGUGUCAUUGUGCACAUAGCUUAUUCUGCUGGGCUUAUGGUUUUUUGCUUGAACUUGCAGUUUGGAUACAUAGUGCUGACAACAUCUGCUGGCAUUAUGGAUCAUGAGGAGGCUAGGAGAAAGAAUGUUGGUGGUAAAGUGCUUGGUUUCUUUUACUAGGCAAGGUUUUUUCCAGGAAUGAGAAUUGAGUUUUCCCGCUAAUGAAGAGCUUUUGGGUGUACUUUUGAACAUCAUAGGUUACUUCUAUGUUUCAAUUUGUGUUUGUUUUGAAUGCUAAUAGAGGUUUUUACUGGAAUGUUAUUUGCUAGAAUUUAUCUUUAAGUGUUUGGUUAUCCAUAGUGCAUCUGGUGGUUGUGGCCUCAGUCUUAAAUUAUCUUAUGAAAUCCAACAUUUUUGCAUCCCGCAGAAUAAUUUUGAAUGGCUAGGUUUUUAUCGCAAUAAUGAAUGAAUAGAAGUUGUUGUGUUGCAGGCGGUGCUUUGUUUUCUGCAUGUCAUGUAGAGACGUUACUUUUCCGGGUUUUAAUGGUAUUUGCUUAUGCAUAUGGUUUUCAAAAAGGAAAUUAGCAUCUCCUUACCGAUCAGUUAUCUGCUAUUUAAAUGCGGUGCAGUAUGACUACAAUUUCUGUUUCCCUUGCUGUCUACUACAUACAUUUCUUGGGUGGGCUUGAGAAUUAUAAGAGCCGACGAAUUUUAUUUUUUUGGCUUCAAAGUCAGAGAAUAAAAAAGAUUUUAUUCAUGUUGUAAUGAUUCGUUCUCGAGGUUGUUGUCAACCUUUCCACAAAGUUUCGUCAUGGUCAAGUUUGGGUAAUCAAAAUUGCUUGUGCAGACUGUAAAACCAUCCAAUUACUGAUACGUCUUCAGUUUAAAUGACAUGGGAAAUGAUUUCUCAUCCAAUCCUGUCCAUAAAUCAAACAAGACCUAAGAUUAGGCGGGCAAUAAUCAGGGACGUUCAAAUUCCAAUCCAUUGUGUUCAAGCAACUAAUUCGUCUGCUAUUUUUGUUUCAAUGAUUCAACAGCGAGUAAUUCGAUCUGUUAUUUAAUGUUUUUUUGGUCUAACAUGGGAUUCUCAGCUUAAAUGGUUAAGAGCUUACAAGGGACUUGGGGGAGCUUAAGCUUAUGCAUGCGACAUGGUUUUGUUUAUUUUUUUUCUUCAUCUUCUUCAAGGUUGGUUUAAGGUUGGCAAUUAGCUUUUUUAGAAAGGAGGGGAAGGGGACAAGAGUGAUAACCAUCAAAUCAUACAACUACUUUUUUUCGUGCUUCAUGUCCUCUUAACAUCAUUAUUUGCAUCGCUUUCAACCUCUACUCAAUUAAUGGUCCGCAUGGAUCUUAGACAUCCCACAAUUAAAGAUUCAUGCUGUGGUUAAUAUAAACACAAAAAAACACACUAUAUAUAAAAAUUAUUACAAAAUUACAUACAAACCCAAGAGAGAGAGAGAGAGAGAAAAAAAAAAAAAAGGAAAGAAGAGAGAGAGAGGAGUUAUGUAACGUUUGAGAAUACAAGAGAGAGAGACUACAUGAACCAGCCGAAGAUCUUUAUUAGGAGGAGAGAAUGCUAAUGAAAUAGCAUUAAGGGAAAGAGAAACACAAAGAGAAACACACACUUGUUGAAAAACUGCCAAAGAUCUGUAGUUGCCCUACCAUCAAAUCAAAGCCAACAUGACUUGUUCAAGUUUCAAUUAGCUAAGCUUUCUUUGUCGUCUGCACUGCAUCAUCAUCGUCGCCUUUGUUGGUAGUAGUAGUAGUAGCAACAAAACCACCAACUUCACCACCGACGGUAUCACCGCCGCUCCCGACUUCCAUCGGUGGCCGGACGACGAAGAAGUAGCAGAGAUGAAUGAGAUGAUGCAGAAGCAACAAGACGAGAGAAUGUGUUGUUGAUAGAUGUUGGAAGAGGUUACAAAGAAAGAGCAAUGUGUUGUGACGUUUUGUAGGUGCAGGGAAGGUGGGUGGAGGAUCUUCUCAGCAUAUGCUCUAAGCAUAACUUCCUUUUGUGUUCCUUUCUAUAGUACCUUUUUCCUCACUGUUCAUUGUUUUCAAUUACUCUUUAUUAUUUUUUAUUUUGGCUACAGUGUUCCUAACUCUUGAUCCAAC